Mus musculus (house mouse) is the source of this 1158-nucleotide long non-coding RNA. RefSeq annotates it as predicted gene, 30571. The transcript is spliced from 2 exons. The record is from RefSeq and is a predicted model, not a curated record. NCBI's taxonomy places the organism in Eukaryota, Metazoa, Chordata, Mammalia, Rodentia, Muridae.
GCAUCUCUGCCCUGGAGCCUCAGCGCCAUGGCCCAACCCUCCCUCUGUGGGCUGGGCCUUUCAGGACUACAUCUGUGAGCACUGUGCUGAGUAGCAAAGACCUGAGAGAAGCCCCGACAGCAUCCUGUCCACAAGGAAGAUUCCUCAUCUUGACUGCAGCCUGCUCUCCCUUCAAUAGAGAGAGACAAGAUCCCUACCUCGUGCCAUGGGGCCCAGAGGAGACAAGAUUAAUGGAUGGGUAAUAUGUUGGGCAACGUGCAGUGGGGCUGUUUGGCACGUCCCUUUAUCUUUCUGUCGCUUGGGUGACGCCUUAUACAGAACUAAGGGACACACAGCUGCCUGGGCUGGUGAUUGCCUUGAUUUUCACUAAAUCCUUUCUACCGUGAUCACUGCCGGCGAGCAGCUCUUCUGAACUCUUCCAGCAUCUGGAACAGCCUGGACCGGCAGAAACACCCACAGAUGUAAUUAGCCCAGGAAGCUGAGCUGCGUCACCUCACACGGGUUCUGAAGCUCCGGUGUUUGCUGCCCCUUGCUCAUUCCCACGCGUAUUUUUAAGCCUUCCUGCCUGGCUGCCUGGCUUGAGGUAUCCCUGGGGCUCAAGUGAUGUGUGUUGACAUUCUCCCGAAGUUACAGAAGUCCUUAAUGAUCCAAAUUUAAAAUAUCAUCUCCCCAGACAGAUAGAUUGGUGGUGAUCUGCCUCUGGACUAGAUUGGUUCAAAUUAAAUUUGACCUAAGGAGGCCUCCGGAGGGGUGCCUAGGUCAGACUUUGCAGCCUGGUGUGGCCAACUAAGCCUAGUGGCUCUAUAACAAAAGCAGGCCUGGCUGCUGCUGGCCCAACCAAUCACAGGCAGAGGUUGGACUCAAGCCAGCCUCAGAUCUUGCUCAGGAGAUCUGCACGGUCCCCAUCACUGUGCCUCCAUCCGGCUGGAUUUCCAGGGCAUGCUGCCUGACAGAACUGGGAACCUUUCUGAGGGAUGCCUGGGCCAAGCGUCAGAGGAGCUGAGGACCCAGGCACACCUGCUCUCACUUUGUCUUCAGGAAUUGAUUUUUAACCUUCUUUCUUGGGGGGGGGGGGUUACAUGUGUGUGGUUCGUGCACACACUUAUGUGUUCCAGCCUAUGUGUUUGAAGAGACCAGAGGAAGCCCUUGGGCAUUCUA